UGCGUAGGUGGGUUGGUAAGUCAGUGGUGAAAUCUCCGAGCUUAACUUGGAAACUGCCAUUGAUACUAUCAGUCUUGAAUAUUGUGGAGGUUAGCGGAAUAUGUCAUGUAGCGGUGAAAUGCUUAGAUAUGACAUAGAACACCAAUUGCGAAGGCAGCUGGCUACACAUAUAUUGACACUGAGGCACGAAAGCGUGGGGAUCAAACAGGAUUAGAUACCCUGGUAGUCC
Molecule: ribosomal RNA, 229 nt
Filed under: uncultured bacterium
Lineage: Bacteria
Description: partial 16S ribosomal RNA
Rfam family: Bacterial small subunit ribosomal RNA
Source: RNAcentral